This 372-nucleotide ribosomal RNA is filed under the name Triticum aestivum (bread wheat). Its description in RNAcentral is "partial small subunit ribosomal RNA". The record is from RNAcentral. Lineage: Eukaryota; Viridiplantae; Streptophyta; Magnoliopsida; Poales; Poaceae.
GAAGCGCAUCUUUUUACCACUGAAUGUAGUGAUCAUCCUCUGGGUAUUGGAAUCUUUGGUUUUGCAAGUUCUUUCUUGAGAGAUACGGCUGUCAAUACCCCGCUAGAGCUUGAGGAGGAGGAUUUGCUUAUCACCUUUGUGCCGCAUAAUGAAGCUCUUAACAGACGCACCACCUCAUUUGGCCCAGAGAUUUGGUUGAUGUUUUUUGGAUUUCCUUACGAUUACCAAACAGACUACUACAUCACCAAGGCUUUAGGGGGUUAUGGAUCUCUUGUCAAUUGGUACAAUCCUCGCCAGGAUAGAUGGUACAUGCUCAUCAAAGCUCGCAUUAUCCGUCUGAAUCUCGUGCCCAAGAGUUUUAUUGUUUGGUAG